UCCCAGACUCCUACGGGAGGCAGCAGUGGGGGAUAUUGCACAAUGGGGGAAACCCUGAUGCAGCGACGCCGCGUGGGCGAAGAAGUCUUUCGGUAUGUAAAGCCCUAUCAGCAGGGAAGAAGAAAUGACGGUACCUGAGUAAGAAGCACCGGCUAAAUACGUGCCAGCAGCCGCGGUAAUACGUAUGGUGCAAGCGUUAUCCGGAUUUACUGGGUGUAAAGGGAGCGCAGGCGGCACGGCAAGCCUGAUGUGAAAGCCCGCGGCCCAACCCCGGGACUGCCCUUGGAACUGCAUGGCUGGAGUGCGGGAGGGGCAGGCGGAAUUCCUGGUGUAGCGGUGAAAUGCGUAGAUAUACGGAGGAACACCAGUGGCGAAGGCGGAUUGCUGGACAGUAACUGACGCUGAGGCGCGAAAGCGUGGGGAGCAAACAGGAUUAGAUACCCCCGUAUA
This 450-nucleotide ribosomal RNA is filed under the name uncultured bacterium. RNAcentral describes it as "bacterial SSU rRNA". It matches the Rfam family "Bacterial small subunit ribosomal RNA", at positions 329 to 794 of the family's 1533-position model. The record is from RNAcentral.